RNAcentral lists this long non-coding RNA (2234 nucleotides) under Eptatretus burgeri (inshore hagfish). Its description in RNAcentral is "lncRNA (ENSEBUG00000017240.1)". The record is from RNAcentral. Lineage: Eukaryota; Metazoa; Chordata; Myxini; Myxiniformes; Myxinidae.
CAUCUCGUUUAACUCUUCAGUCUGAGUGUUAUAUUUGCCCGUGUACGUCUUCAUUAAAGGUGGUGAUUUAAAGCACAGGUGCGUUUGUGGGCGGAGCUUGAUGGACCGCCCACCAAGGGAAAGGGGAGGAGCCGGAAGCGCGCUUUGACAAUCUUGGGACACCAGCGAUGCAGGCCAAUAUAUGCUGCCUCUCUCGUGAGGAAGAGGAGUGCCUCAACUUCCUCGAUAACACCAUCGGCUCUCUGGACGAGUCGAGCCUGGUCCACAAAAACCUGGCUCUUGGCAGCAUUAGAAGUCGUGAGGAUACGGUGGACCUGCUAACUAAUGCAGUGCAACAAAAUGAUGGGGCUGAUGUUGCUGCUGUAUUUACCAGCACGAAACAUCUAUCAGAAGCAGAACCUGUGGAGCACACCUUGUCAGACUCAUCAUCUCAACAGAGCAGCGAAGGAUCAUUGACUUCAGCUUUCGAAAAUAACAGAACCACGCACCCAGCACAACAGCAGCAACGGGUGAUGGAUACACAACUCUUUGGACCCGGAUCGAUGCCUGGAGCAAACGCUGAAGCACUCACUGUUUCAACAAUGAUAGAGAACGGGAGCCAAAUUUCUCCAGAUGAGCUAUCUCUGGAAAACAAGGAGGAAGCUGGAGUUAGUAGAGAUGAGCAAGGACGAGGCAGUGAGAGUGAUUGGCCUUCACAUUCACCUGCAGAGAACUUUCAUUCUCCAUCGGAUCCCAAGGAGCUUCAUAUCUGCGGUGCCGGUCGAAUUCCUGGGCGCAUUGGUCCUGCACAAACGAAGAACUUCGAUACAAUCAUGAAAGCUGGAGUAAAUGUGCAGAAACGGAGGGCAGUGAUGCUGGAUCUUCUCAACCACCACAAUAACAACAACAACAACAACAACAACAGCAAUGAUAGUGAUUCAGGCUUGGGUCUCAGCCCAAGGGAUCAGAAUCUUUUUGUUCCCUCUUUUUCAACUUCUGUCCCCGUGACCGAGCAACCUUUUGUGAUUAAAGGUGAUGUCAGAAGUUUUGAGAGAUCUGAGUUUCGAGACAAAAGGGACUCCAAUUCAGUCUCUCAGCCACCAUCUCGGUCAGGCUCUUUGGUUGAAGCUCCAACCAAUAUGUGGCCAAUCUCUCGCUCAUGCUCCGAGCGCCGUAUCAUGUUGAAUGGGAAAACGAUCGCCAAAUAUCCAUCUUUCGAAGAUGAAAUGAAAAAAAGUGUUUGUGCACUUCAAAAGCCUGUCACUCAACAAAUAACAUUUGUAGGGCCAGGACAUUGGAAGAUUAUUGCACCAAAAAGUUAACUUCCCUCGAGUCAUGAUGAAAGAUGAAAAGCUCAACUUGCUGCAAGCCAUCUUUAUGUUUUUAAAAGUAUUUUUCUCAUUGUUUGUAUACUAUGUAUAGAUAUCUGUGCCAUUUGGAACUGUGCUUUACUGCCAAUUGGUUGUAGUUUUGGUACCUAUUUAGGAUGGUCGUCCAUGCUUUAUCAACGUUAUUCAUGGAGUACAAUUUCUGUCUCGACAGUACCAUUUCCUACUGGUUUCAGCUUUCUUUUUCUUAAAAAAAAAAAAAAAAUCUAAUGUUUAACCCAUCACUUCUCCUUCAUGAGUUUCUAAUCAUAACUUAUUCUAUGAGUCGACGAAUGACAUUAUUACCCCCAUUAUGAAACUACCAAUGAUUACGAACCAGAAGGAGUGGCACUAAAAGUUUCGCAAGUCGCCUUGGAUACCCUAGAGGAAACGAGAUAAAGAUUACAAAUGUUUACGAACACUAUAAACUGCUACAGUAUGAGCUAUGCAUGUCAUAUAUGACACAAUGACAUGCAAGUCUCAAUUGCCUAUUUGAAGGGGGGGUUUUAGCAUUUACAUUAUCUUCAGCUAUAUUUAUAAAUUAAUCUUUCAUGUGAACUUUGCAAUGGCCAUGACACUGAGUCACGAGCUUUGAUAAUGACUUAACCUGCAGUACGAGCCAAACUUGUUUAAGGAAAAAUGAAACAUGUUUGGUAUGCUUACUUUGUUCCUUAUUGUAGUGGCAGCAUUAUGCUAUAAUCACCUCUUUGCUGUAAUACAUUUUUCCAUAAUGCUUCGUUGUAAUAAUAUUUUAUUUUUGUUGUGCUUAUGAAAUAAAACAUCGACUCGAAUUGGUGUGUGUUUACGCCGUAUGUACGUAUGUUUCACGGGUUCUACGGGUCGUUGUCGGGGAAAUAAUUCCCUAUAGUGUGUGGACCCCCCCCCCCC